RNAcentral lists this small RNA (162 nucleotides) under Chrysemys picta bellii (western painted turtle). RNAcentral describes it as "TUC338 (ENSCPBG00000014165.1)". The record is from RNAcentral. Lineage: Eukaryota; Metazoa; Chordata; Testudines; Emydidae.
UCCCUGGCAUAUAUUUGACAUUUAUUUCUAGAGCAGGCACAGCAUAGACAGAAGCAGUGCAAGUGUGCCCAUGCUACCCCACCAGUGUGGCUCCACCUGCUCUGGAGACACCACAUCUAAUGGGGUUCCAAUGCCAAUGCAGCCCAGGGGCACUUGGCUAGG